This 497-nucleotide ribosomal RNA is filed under the name uncultured bacterium. Its description in RNAcentral is "partial 16S ribosomal RNA". It matches the Rfam family "Bacterial small subunit ribosomal RNA", at positions 28 to 507 of the family's 1533-position model. The record is from RNAcentral.
GAUGAACGCUGGCGGCGUGCCUAAUACAUGCAAGUCGAGCGAACAGAUGAGGAGCUUGCUCCUCUGACGUUAGCGGCGGACGGGUGAGUAACACGUGGAUAACCUACCUAUAAGACUGGGAUAACUUCGGGAAACCGGAGCUAAUACCGGAUAAUAUAUUGAACCGCAUGGUUCAAUAGUGAAAGACGGUUUUGCUGUCACUUAUAGAUGGAUCCGCGCCGCAUUAGCUAGUUGGUAAGGUAACGGCUUACCAAGGCGACGAUGCGUAGCCGACCUGAGAGGGGUGACCGGCCACACUGGAACGGGGCACGGUCCCAGCUCCCACGGGAGGGCGGCGUUGGGAAUCUUUCCGAAUUGGCGGAAACCCUGCCGAAGCAACGCGCGGUGGGGAAUGAAGUCCUUCGGUCCGUAAACCCUUUUUAUAGGGAAGAACAAAUGUGUAAGUAACUAUGCACGUCUUGACGGUACCUAAUCAGAAAGCCACGGCUAACUACGUG